CGUUAUUUGAGUUUCUGACUCAUUCAUGCCACCUCAUCUUCAAUUCUAAAUGGUAUAUCCAUCCUUUCCCAGAUUCUUCCCCUCUUCCUUGUGCCCAGCUGGCAACUCCUCAGUGACUCCAGUAGGUGUAUUAUAGGUGAUCAUAUCAGUUUAUAAUUGAAAAUUGUAAUUUUGUUGUUGUAUUGGGUUGGGUUGUUCUUAUUUAUAAUAGAAUAGAAGAUUUUAAUGUUGUUGUAUUGGUCUUUUUGUUGGUCAAUUGAGAUUCUUCCAUGCACUUAUUACCUUCGUUACUUAAAAGAGGGAUUCUUUGGGCUGCGUAGGUACAGGGGGAAGAUAUGAAUGGAGUUCCUUUAUGAUUUAGAAUUUGUAGUGUUGGUAAGUGUGUAUUCUUUCUUCUUUUUACAACAUUGCAAAUGAGAUGGCUCAUUACACUGCAAAUUGUUGGGAUGUUAAGAUUUAAUGCUCAUAUGGUUGGAUCGAGUGUAUUGUUAUUGCUGACAAAUCUGCAUAUGAUCAGAGUACUCAUACGGUCAUGGAUGAAAAGAAAGCAAUGGAGAUGAAGGCCAACUUGGAGUUUAAGGGUGAAGUUGAAUUCAAUGCUUGCACUCUUGUGAAGAAUGUCACAAUAACCAACAAGAUGGUAAAAAGCAAGAAGGAGAAAAAAAGGAUCACAAGGUUUUACGCCAUCAGUUAUUGAGCCAUCUUUUGGUAUUGGGUAAAUUAUAUACUGUUUCUAUGAGCAUUCUUUCUACAUCAGAAUAAGCAAAGGUCAAGAUGAGCAACAAUGUCUUCCGUUUCCCUCCACUUGUGGCUCGAAUCAAAUGCAAUGUGUUCUCUCUUUUUCAAAAUCAGCGAUAUGAGGAGGUCGCUGAACAAAUUGUUAAGUCAUUGACUGCAGCUGGUAUCUCACAUAAAAUUGACAAUGCAGGAGGAUGAAGAUUGUGGACUAGAGUAGCAAGUAGGCAUGAUGUUUCCAUAAACAUGCAUGCAUGCAUAAGGCGAUAUAAUUGAAUAGGAAAGUAAGAAAUGACCUUUAGAUUGAUUUAGAUUCAUUUAGGAGAGUUAUAUAGAUAAUAUGAUUGAAUUUUCAUAUCAAUUACUUAUAAUUUUUAACGCAAUAAUAUGCUUUCAAUUGAUGAAUACUACU
Molecule: long non-coding RNA, 1147 nt
Organism: Beta vulgaris subsp. vulgaris (sugar beet)
Lineage: Eukaryota; Viridiplantae; Streptophyta; Magnoliopsida; Caryophyllales; Amaranthaceae
Exons: 3
Source: RefSeq, a predicted model, not a curated record